This 342-nucleotide ribosomal RNA is filed under the name Triticum aestivum (bread wheat). RNAcentral's name for it is "partial small subunit ribosomal RNA". The record is from RNAcentral. Lineage: Eukaryota; Viridiplantae; Streptophyta; Magnoliopsida; Poales; Poaceae.
AUGCACACCCUGCUGAAGGAGAGAGGUACUACUUGCGGGGUGCUCCUCAGCCAUGUCUUAGAUGCCACUUCAUUUGAUGAUUUAAAAACAAUGAAUAGCAAUCCAUGCAGUUCCUUUAGAGAGGCAUAUGAGCAGCUAGGACUCAUUGAGCAUGACAUGACACUUGAUGAUUGCAUGACAGAGGCAGCAACAUUUCAGAUGCCUUCUGCUCUUAGACGGUUGUUUGCAACUAUACGGGUAUUCUAUGAGGCAACAAAAAUCUGUCAGUUAUGGGACAAGCACCUAGCAUCGAUGUCUGAAGAUUACCGUCGUACUCAACCGAAUGAGGCAGCACUUGAGUAG